GACGAACGCUGGCGGCGUGCUUAACACAUGCAAGUCGAACGGAAAGGCCCUGCUUGCUGGGUACUCGAGUGGCGAACGGGUGAGUAACACGUGGGUGAUCUGCCCUGCACUUCGGGAUAAGCCUGGGCAACUGGGUCUAAUACCGGAUAGGAGCCACUUUUAGCGUGAUGGUUGGAAAGUUUUUUCGGUGUAGGAUGAGCGCGCGGCCUAUCGGCUUGUUGGGGGGGUAAUGGCCUACCAAGGCGGCGACGGGUAGCUGGCCUGAGAGGGUGGACGGCCACAUUGGGACUGAGAGACGGCCCAGACGCCGACGGGAGGCAGCAGUGGGGAAGAUUGCACAAUGGGCGCAAGCCUGAUGCAGCGACGCCGCGGGGGGGAGGACGGCCUUCGGGUUGUAAACACCUUUCGCUAGAGACGAAGCUUUUUGUGACGGUACCUAGAUAAGAAGCACCGGCUAACUACGUG
RNAcentral lists this ribosomal RNA (465 nucleotides) under uncultured bacterium. RNAcentral's name for it is "partial 16S ribosomal RNA". It matches the Rfam family "Bacterial small subunit ribosomal RNA", at positions 28 to 507 of the family's 1533-position model. The record is from RNAcentral.